GAUGAACGCUGGCGGCGUGCCUAAUACAUGCAAGUCGAGCGAACGGACGAGAAGCUUGCUUCUCUGAUGUUAGCGGCGGACGGGUGAGUAACACGUGGAUAACCUACCUAUAAGACUGGGAUAACUUCGGGAAACCGGAGCUAAUACCGGAUAAUAUUUUGAACCGCAUGGUUCAAAAGUGAAAGACGGUCUUGCUGUCACUUAUAGAUGGAUCCGCGCUGGAUUAGCUAGUUGGUAAGGUAACGGCUUACCAAGGCAACGAUGCAUAGCCGACCUGAGAGGAUGAUCGGCCACACUGGAACUGAGACACGGUCCAGACUCCUACGGGAGGCAGCAGUAGGGAAUCUUCCGCAAAGGGCGAAAGCCUGACGGAGCAACGCCGCGUGAGUGAUGAAGGUCUUCGGAUCGUAAAACUCUGUUAUUAGGGAAGAACAUAUGUGUAAGUAACUGUGCACAUCUUGACGGUACCUAAUCAGAAAGCCACGGCUAACUACGUG
This 497-nucleotide ribosomal RNA is filed under the name uncultured bacterium. RNAcentral describes it as "partial 16S ribosomal RNA". It matches the Rfam family "Bacterial small subunit ribosomal RNA", at positions 28 to 507 of the family's 1533-position model. The record is from RNAcentral.